This is a long non-coding RNA of Saccostrea cuccullata (small rock oyster), 1069 nucleotides long. RefSeq lists it as uncharacterized. The record is from RefSeq and is a predicted model, not a curated record. The transcript has 3 exons. NCBI's taxonomy places the organism in Eukaryota, Metazoa, Mollusca, Bivalvia, Ostreida, Ostreidae.
GUCUCCAGUAGAUUUAUCAUUCCAACUCAUUUAAGUACUAUCUUCUUAUGAUUACAGGAAGAGGAACGUAAAGAAUGGGAAAUGGAAGAACUAUGGGAAAAAGGUAGAAGAAUGAUGUAUCCGUCAACACCUGAUCAAGAAUCUGAUGAAGAAUCUGAUUAGUGACAAAUAAAUGCCGUGCUUACCCGAUUGAAUUGAUAUUCAAUUUACAAACCAGUCCUGUAAAAAUGACUUAUUUUUAUCUCACUAGAUUAAAACAUCAUAUUUUACACUUUUAUUGUAUAUUUUUGUUUGUUUGAAUAUUGCUGUAAAGGAACGCAUUAUUCUUUUGAAACUCACAAGUUUAGGGCAGAUGUAUACAUGAAAGACAAUUGACCUGGAAACCUAACAAGAAAAAAUGAGAAAUGUUCAAACUCCCAAGCUGGGACAUAUUUUUUGGAAGAAUAGAGAGAGCAGAAUGAUAAGGACACAAUUUUCUUUACAGACACAUUUUGUUAAUACAGUAUCAAGUUACUUUUCUACCAAAAAUGGAUGAAUCAGCCUUUUAAUGUCCAUUUUAAAUAGUGAAAAGUCAUGAUUGAAAAACGUUUUGGUAAAUCCCCCAGAUACUGCUUAAGCCCGCUAUUUUGUAUAGAAAAAAAGAAAAACUGUAUCUGGAAUAUUAAUAAUCAAAAAUCUAGAUGAAGGUAAAAACAAUUACUGGUACGAAUAAAAUAAUGCUUGUAUGUUUAUCAGAUCUGCGUAUUCUGUGAUAUAAAUUAAUGAAACUAUAAUCAAAGAACAAACAGCCCUUUAAACCUACGAUCAACUCUGGAUUAAGAAGUAUUUUUGAUUCAAAGAAUUCAUUAAUCUGUUGUUUAGAGAACACGAAUUUAAAACUUCUUCCAAAUUUAUAGAAUAAGAAUACCCUAACGUGAAUUAUAAUAAGGUGAGGUUUUUUCAACUUGAAAUUACAAUUUUUUCCAACAUUCUUCAUAUUGGCACUUAUUCCCUUUUUAUCGUAUCAAUUUUGUUUGUUCUUGUCACAAUUUAUUGAUUUUAAAUGAAUAUGCUAUAUUUUGUAAAAGAA